GACGAACGCUGGCGGCGUGCUUAACACAUGCAAGUCGAACGGAAAGGCCCUUCUUUUGUGGGGUGCUCGAGUGGCGAACGGGUGAGUAACACGUGAGUAACCUGACCAUGACUUUGGGCUACCUUCAGGACACUGGGGCUAAUACCGGAUAGGAGCUCAUGCUGCAUGGUGGGGGUUGGCGAGUUUGGGCGGUUGGGGAUGGACUCGCGGCUUCUCAGUAUGUUGGUGGGGUCGUGGCUUACAAAGGAGUCGACGGGUAGCCGGCCGGAGGGGGUGACCGGCAGCAAUGGUGCGGAUAUGCGGCCGAGACGCCUACGGGAGGAAGCAGUGGGGAAUAUUUCACAAUGGGGGGAAGCCGGAUGCAGCAGCGCCGCGGGGUGGAGGUAGGCCGUCUAGGGGUAGACCGCUUCUGCCUGUGAAGAAGAGGGAGUGACGGUAAUGGGUAAAGAAGCACCGGCUAACUACGUG
This 468-nucleotide ribosomal RNA is filed under the name uncultured bacterium. RNAcentral describes it as "partial 16S ribosomal RNA". It matches the Rfam family "Bacterial small subunit ribosomal RNA", at positions 28 to 507 of the family's 1533-position model. The record is from RNAcentral.